UGAUCUCAAAUAACCGUAUAUGAGGUAAGUUAUCAUUAUUAAAUAGUCACAUAUAUAAAACCCAACGAAGAAAAUAUUUCACUACAUACGUGUAUUGUAUAUAUAGAAAAUACCAUGGGAACUGCGGACUAAUUUAAGCUAAGGUCGAAGUUACUUCUGUCACAUUUGCUUGAUGAAUUUUCAAGCCCCCUUCCAUUUUCCACUCCAGAUUUCAUACAGACCAAAGUGAAGCAUGUUAUCGACACUAGCGGGCAGAACUUCAAUUCUCAAUGGCGGGCUGGUUUUGUCAGGAAUUGUGAAUCUGCCUACAUUUGGAUCCUGCACUACUUUAACUUUGGUCCAUUUGUACUUGCCCCUUUUCCCUACCUUGGCCAUCAAGAAAGCUUGUAUAUCUCUCCAACCAAAUGAACUAGGUGCCAUUUCUACGUCUAAGCUGAUUUGGUACGUCUUCGUAGGUAUUACUAACUGAGCCUGUUACUUCUAGCCAAGAAACCUGUUUCAACUCCGUAGGGUCAUUAGAGUCACCUUUGGAUAGCCUGCAAAAUGUAUAGUAUGCAGCCAAUUAUUCACAUAGUGAAGCCGAAACAAAAGGGCUUGGUGAUAUUAGAAGUGGAAACUCCUAUAUAUAAAUUGCAUAUUAUUUUUUGUCAUAUGCUCGAUGUGGGAUCCUAUUCUCCAACAAUAUUUAAACCUUAAUGAGUGCAUAAUAACAAAAGGAGACUGUCUAAAGUACAUUUACCAAACAAAAAUCUCAAAAGGCGGGACAAGCACACAUAAGUGGAGUAGACGCGUAGCUCCCAUACUUAUGAGAAAUGAUAUUAGCAUUUUCCUAUUACCAGAUGUAUAUAACCACAACAACAACAACAACAAAGCCUUUUCCCACUAAGUGGGGUCGGCUAUAUGAAUCCUAGAACGCCAUUGCGCUCGGUUUUGUGUCAUGUCCUCCGUUAGAUCCAAGUACUCAAGUCUUUUCUUAGGGUCUCUUCCAAAGUUUUCCUAGGUCUUCCUCUACCCCUUCGGCCCUGAACCUCUGUCCCGUAGUCACAUUUUCGAACCGGAGCGUCAGUAGGCCUUCUUUGCACAUGUCCAAACCACCGGAACCGAUUUUCUCUCAUAUUUCCUUCAAUUUUGGCUACUCCUACUUUACCUCGGAUAACCUCAUUCCCAAUCUUAUCCUUUCUCGUGUGCCCAUACAUCCCACGAAGCAUCCUCAUCUCCGCUACACCCAUUUUGUGUACGUUGAUGCUUCACUGCCCAACAUUCUGUGCCAUACAACAUCGCUGGCCUUAUUGCCGUCCUAUAAAAUUUUCCCUUGAGCUUCAGUGGCCUACGACGGUCACACAACACGCCGGAUGCACUCUUACACUUCAUCCAUCCAGCUUGUAUUCUAUGGUUGAGAUCUCCAUCUAAUUCUUCGUUCUCUUGCAAGAUAGAUCCUAGGUAGCGAAAAUGGUCACUUUUUGUGAUCUUCGCUAGAUUGCUCUGGUCAUUAGUGUGGAUAAGUAUAUAAAUGGAUAGAGAUAGGAAAGCAAACACAAGAUGUACGUGGUUCACCUAGAUUUGCUACGUCCACGGAAUAGAGGAGUUCUCAUUAAUUGUGAAGGGUUUACACAAAAGCAAACACAAGAUGUACGUGGUUCACCUAGAUUGGCUACGUCCACGGAAUAGAGGAGUUCUCAUUAAUUGUUUAGGGUUUACACAAGUACAUAGGUUCAAGCUCUCCUUUAGUGAGUACAAGUGAAUGAUUUAGUACAAAUGACAUUAGGAAAUAUUGUGGGAGAAUGAUCUCGUAGCCACGAAACUUCUAAGUACCGGAGUGUAGUAUCGUCUUGACUUGCCUUAUCUGUCUCAUAGGUAGAUGUGGCAUCUUCUCUGGAAGUACUCUUCCUCCAUCCAGGGGUGGUAUCUGUAACUGGUGGAGAUGCACAAGGUAAUGUAUCAAUUUCACUUGAAACUUACUUGUAGUUUCAUGCUUGGUCAAGCGCGAUACAAACCAUGUAGUAGGAGUCCCCCAAGUCGCCGAGCUAGGGGAUCUGCUGAAAGAGGUGACAGACAAGGUAAGCAAUCAGAGCUCCAGCUGAUUGUUCACAUUCUCCCUAUCUUGCAGGCAGCAUGAAGGAUAAAGAGAAGAAAAAUGAGGAGAGAUGAUAUGGGAUACUUUUGCUUUUGAAGAAGUAAGUCCAUCAAAUCUAGAGUACGUUCGACCCUGCUGAUAUGGGAUACUUUUGCUUUUGACAGAGUAGUGGAUGUAUCGGCACGUGUGCUGUUACGCUUGUCUCCACAUGCUUCCUUGUAUCCUUCUCACUUGCCCUAUUUGUUCCUCAGGCAGAUGCGGUAUCUUCCCUGGAAGCAUAAGAUGUUGAAGAUGAGUACUCGAGAGCAAUGCCAGGUAAGUAAUCAGGUAAGGGGUUCCAGGCAGUCAGUUCUUGGCUGGAAGCUUGAUUCCAAGUGCUGACUGAUUGCUCUCUUUCUCCUUGUCUUGCAGGUAAGAACAAGGCCAAAGGAAAAGACAGGGAAAAAGCAUGAUAUGGGAUACUCUUGCUUUUAACCCUGAUGAUAUGAGAUAUUAUUGCUCUAGUAUAGCUUGUUUACAAAGGUAUUAUCGGGGGGAAAGAAAGCUGAAUAUUUCGAAAGGCUUCGUUGGGAGUGCCCUCUCAGAUAAGAGAAAGGGUUGAGCAUUUUUGCAGGUCUGCCUGUCCGUUAGGGAUGGAGGUCGACAUAUAUAGGAGUCUCCCUAACAUCAAGUAAUAAUGCUAUUCCUUUACCCUGCUUGGUUAUAGCACGGUAGUGGGAGCUGCCAGCUUCACAUGUUUUAACUCUGUCAGAGCACUUUGAAAAAGUGGUCUGUGGUAUCUGGAAAGCUGAUGUUGCGUGUGAAGAUUACAGACAAGCUUUAUCCAAGGAGAUCCAGCUCUUGAAGUUGGGAAAGUGGUGCCUCUUCGAUUUUCGAACAAGCAAUCCUGUCGGGGAUCUGGCUCUCGAGAUUCGGAGAAUGAUGCCUCUUCGAUUUUUGAGAAAGCAAUCCUGCUGGGGGUCUAGCUCUCGAGAUUCGGAGAGCGGUGUCUCUUCGAUUUUUGAGAAAGUAAUCAUGUUGGGAGUCUGGCUCUCGAGAUUCGGAGGGCGGUGCCUCUUCGAUUUUGGAGCAAGCAAUCUUGUUAGGAGUGUUUUCUCGAAUGUGAGUAAAGGUUGGAUGUGUUUGCUAGUCUACCUUGCCACGAAGCACAGAGGUUGACACACAGGGACUUUCCAAUUAUCCAGCAGUGGUACUGUUCCUUUACCCUCUCUUCGAUUUUUGAGAAAGUAAUAAUCAUGUUGGGAGUCUGGCUCUCGAGAUUCGGAGGGCGGUGCCUCUUCGAUUUUGGAGCAAGCAAUCUUGUUGGGAGUGUUUUCUCGAAUGUGAGUAAAGGUUGGGCAUGUUUGCUAGUCUACCUUGCCACGAAGCACAAAGGUUGACACACAAGGACUUUCCAAUUAUCCAGCAGUGGUACUGUUCCUUUACCCUCUCUUCGAUUUUUGAGAAAGUAAUCAUGUUGGGAGUCUGGCUCUCGAGAUUCGGAGGGCGGUGCCUCUUCGAUUUUGGAGCAAGCAAUCUUGUUGGGAGUGUUUUCUCGAAUGUGAGUACAGGUUGGGCAUGUUUGCUAGUCUACCUUGCCACGAAGCACAGAGGUUGACACACCGGGACUUUCCAAUUAUCCAGCAGUGGUACUGUUCCUUUACCCUUGUGGGUAAUAAUAUGGUAGCUAGACCUUCAAAAUUUAUGUGUUCUAAACUUUGUUAGUGUUGUUUCUUUGCAAUUUUUUUACCCUUCUUGGUCAGAGCGAUGUAGUGGGAGCUGCAAGCUUCACGUGUCUCAACUUUGUCAGAGAACUUUGGCAAAGUUAUCUGUGGUACCCAUGAGCUACUGUUGCGUGUGGGAAGUGGGUGAUUGAACAGUACGAUUCAUGUGCUUUCUACUUCGUCAGAAAUCUUCGACAGAAUGCCCAUAAUUUCCGCAAAGCUGAGUGUGCGUGUGACAGGUGCUGACAAGGCUGGAAAAAGUAGGUGCCUCUUCGAUUUCUGAGAUCGGCCCUCGUGGUCUCUGAGCAUCCCAGCUUUUGAGAAAGCAAGCCUCUUCGAUUUCUGAGAUCGGCCUUCGUGGUCUUUGAGCAGCCCAGCUUUUGAGAAAGCAAACGCCUCUUCGAUUUCUGAGAUCGACCCUCGUGGUCUCUGAGCAGCCCAGCUUUUGAGAAAGCAAACGCCUCUUCGAUUUUCUGAGCAGGCGCCUCUUCGAUUUCUGAAGCUCUUCGUUGAGUGCAGAUUUUUAUAGGGGCUGACAUUAAGUUCCAAAGCACACUUGAAUAUCCACCAGUAGAAGCUCCAUUCUUGCACUUCUAAGAUCUUGAUUUGUCCGACCUCUUCUCUCUUCAACACCUUUGAAAAUGUCUGGCCCCUCCGACCGUCGUUUUGACUUGAACCUUGUUGAAGAGGCAGCCCCGCCUUCUCCAGACAACAUAUGGCGCCCAUCCUUCGUCUCCCCUACUGGUCCUCUUACCGUUGGGGAUUCCGUGAUGAAGAAUGAUAUGACCGCUGCGGUAGUGGCCAGGAACCUUCUCACUCCCAAAGAUAACAGACUACUUUCCAAACGGUCUGAUGAGUUGGCUGUUAAGGAUUCUCUGGCUCUCAGUGUUCAGUGUGCAGGUUCUGUGUCUAAUAUGGCCCAACGCCUAUUUGCUCGAACCCGCCAAGUUGAAUCAUUGGCGGCUGAAGUGAUGAGUCUCAAACAGGAGAUUAGAGGGCUCAAGCAUGAGAAUAAACAGUUGCACCGGCUCGCACAUGACUAUGCUACAAACAUGAAGAGGAAGCUUGACCAGAUGAAGGAAUCUGAUGGUCAGGUUUUACUUGAUCAUCAGAGAUUUGUGGGUUUGUUCCAAAGGCAUUUAUUGCCUUCGUCUUCUGGGGCUGUACCGCGUAAUGAAGCUCCAAAUGAUCAACCUCUGAUGCCUCCUCCUUCUAGGGUUUUGUCCAGUACUGAGGCUCCGAAUGAUCCCCUCCGGUGCCUUCUCUUUCUGGGGCUCUACCGACUGCUGAGACUUCUCCUAAGCAACCUUUGUGAAGGCUCCCUCUUGUUUGUUUAUUUUGACUCAAGUAUAUGUACAUAUUUGUAACUUAUCGGGGAUAUCAAUAAAUAAGCUUUCCUUCAUUUCAACGUAUUGUGUUAAAUACACCAAAGCCUUCUUCGCUAAGUUCUUUGAAUUUUCUUUUGUUGAAGCUUGUAUGUUGAAGCUUUGUGAGUGGAGCAUGUAGGUUGAGGUAGUGUUCCCUUAAUUUCCCGAGUGAGGAAAACUUCUCGGUUGGAGACUUGGAAAAUCCAAGUCACUGAGUGGGAUCGGCUAUAUGAAUCUUAGAACGCCAUUGUGUUCUGUCCUGUGUCAUGUCCUCCGUUAGAUCCAAGUACUCUAAGUCUUUUCUUAGGGUCUCUUCCAAAGUUUUCCUAGGUCUUCCUCUACCCCUUCGGCCCUGAACCUCUGUCCCAUAGUCGCAUCUUCUAAUCGGAGCGUCAGUAGGCCUUCUUUGCACAUGUCCAAACCACCGUAACCGAUUUUCUCUCAUCUUUCCUUCAAUUUCGGCUACUCCUACUUUACCCCGGAUAUCCUCAUUCCUAAUCUUAUCCUUUCUCGUGUGCCCACACAUCCAACGAAGCAUCCUCAUCUCCGCUACACCCAUUUUGUGUACGUGUUGAUGCUUCACCGCCCAACAUUCUGUGCCAUACAGCAUCGCCGGCCUUAUUGCCGUCCUAUAAAAUUUUCCCUUGAGCUUCAGUGGCAUACGGCGGUCACACAACACGCCGGAUGCACUCUUCCACUUCAUCCAUCCAGCUUGUAUUCUAUGGUUGAGAUCUCCAUCUAAUUCUCCGUUCUUUUGCAAGAUAGAUCCUAGGUAACGAAAACGGUCGCUCUUUGGUAUUUCUUGAUCUCCGAUCCUCACCCCUAACUCGUUUUGGCCUCCAUUUGCACUGAACUUGCACUCCAUAUAUUCUGUCUUUGAUCGGCUUAGGCGAAGACCUUUAGAUUCCAACACUUCUCUCCAAAGGUUAAGCUUUGCAUUUACCCCUUCCUGAGUUUCAUCUAUCAACACUAUAUCGUCUGCGAAAAGCAUACACCAAGGAAUAUCAUCUUGAAUAUGUCCUGUUAACUCAUCCAUUACCAACGCAAAAAGGUAAGGACUUAAGGAUGAGCCUUGAUGUAAUCCUACAGUUAUGGGAAAGCUUUCGGUUUGUCCUUCAUGAGUUCUUACGGCAGUCUUUGCUCCUUCAUACAUAUCCUUUAUAGCUUGGAUAUAUGCUACUCGUACUCCUUUCUUCUCUAAAAUCCUCCAAAGAAUGUCUCUUGGGACCCUAUCAUACGCUUUUUCCAAAUCUAUAAAGACCAUGUGUAAAUCCUUUUUCCCAUCUCUAUAUCUUUCCAUCAAUCUUCGUAAGAGAUAGAUUGCCUCCAUGGUUGAGCGCCCUGGCAUGAACCCGAAUUGGUUGUCCGAAACCCGUGUCUCUUGCCUCAAUCUAUGCUCAAUGACUCUCUCCCAGAGCUUCAUUGUAUGACUCAUUAGCUUAAUACCCCUAUAGUUCAUGCAAUUUUGUACAUCGCCCUUAUUCUUGUAGAUAGGCACCAAAGUGCUCAUUCGCCACUCAUUUGGCAUCUUCUUCGUUUUCAAAAUCCUAUUGAAAAGGUCAGUGAGCCAUGUUAUACCUGUCUCUCCCAAAACUUUCCACACUUCGAUUGGUAUAUCGUCUGGGCCUACUGCUUUUCUAUGCUUCAUCUUCUUCAAAGCUACAACCACUUCUUCCUUCCGGAUUCUACGAUAAAAAGAGUAGUUUCUACACUCUUCUGAGUUACUCAACUCCCCUAAAGAAGCACUCCUUUCAUGUCCUUCAUUGAAAAGAUUAUGAAAAUAACCUUCUCCAUCUGUCUUUAACCGCGUUCUCUGUAGCAAGAACCUUUCCAUCCUCAUCCUUGAUGCACCUCACUUGGUUUAGGUCCCUUGUCUUCUUUUCCCUUGCUCUAGCUAGUUUAUAGAUAUCCAACUCUCCUUCUUUGGUAUCUAGUCGCUUAUACAUAUCGUCAUAAGCCGCUAACUUAGCUUCUCUCACAGCUUUCUUCGCCUCUUGCUUCGCUUUUCUAUACCUUUCACCAUUUUCAUCGGUCCUAUCCUUGUAUAAGGCUUUACAACAUUCCUUCUUAGCCUUCACCUUUGUUUGUACCUCCUCAUUCCACCACCAAGAUUCCUUUUGGUGUGGGGCAAAGCCCUUGGACUCUCCUAAUACCUCUUUUGCUACUUUUCGGAUACAACUAGCCAUGGAAUCCCACAUUUGGCUAGCUUCCCCCUCUCUAUCCCACACACACUGGGUGAUUACUUUCUCUUUGAAAAUGGCUUGUUUUUCUUCUUUUAGAUUCCACCAUCUAGUCCUUGGGCACUUCCAAGUCGUGUUCUUUUUUUCUCACUCUUUUGAUAUGUACAUCCAUCACCAACAAGCGAUGUUGAUUAGCCACGCUCUUUCCUGGUAUAACUUUGCAAUCCUUACAAGUUAUACGAUCCCCUUUCCUCAUUAGAAGAAAAAUCUAUUUGUGUUUUUGACGACCCACUCUUGUAGGUGAUCACAUGUUCUUCUCUCUUCUUAAAGAAGGUGUUGGCUAAGAAGAGAUCAUAUGCCAUUGCAAAAUCCAAGAUAGCUUCCCCAUCCUCGUUUCUCUCCCCAAAACCAUGGCCACCAUGAAAACCUCCAUAGUUGCCUGUCUCCCUGCCCACGUGUCCAUUUAAAUCUCCUCCUAUAAAUAACUUCUCCGUCUGAGCAAUUCCUUGCACCAAGUCUCCAAGGUCUUCCCAAAAUUUCUCCUUCGAACUCGUAUCCAACCCUACUUGAGGUGCGUACGCACUAAUCACAUUGAUAAGUUCUUGUCCUAUUACAAUCUUGAUUGCCAUGAUUCUAUCUCCUACCCUCUUGACAUCUACAACAUCUUGUGUCAAGGUCUUGUCCACGAUGAUGCCAACACCGUUUCUCGUUCUAUUUGUGCCCGAAUACCAAUAGUUUAAACCCUGAGUUUUCUAGAUCCUUUGCCUUACGACCAACCCACUUAGUUUCUUGUAGGCACAUAAUAUUUAUCCUUCUCCUCACCCUAACUUCUACUACUUCCAUAGAUUUUCCCGUCAAGGUUCCUAUAUUCCACGUUCCUAAACGCAUUUUGCUCUCUUGAACUCUACCCUUCUGUCCUAGCUUCUUCACCCUUCCCCGUCUAAUAGGAUUAAAGUACUUCUUUUGUGUGUCCCGUGUAAAGUUGAUAGGAGCAUAUGCUCCCAAACAACUUUGAGUGGAGUCGUUCGAAAAGAAGUUUCUAUAGCCCCCUUGCUCAUUUAACACUGCAUUCGGGUGCCGAUGGAGAUACAGCGACCCUUGCUCACUUAUCACUGUGCUCAGGCCACACAGCGCGCCACUUACGGGUGACGCCCUAGCUUUAGCGCGAUUUCGUUCUGGAUUCAUUUUCAUAAGGAUUCGACGUGAUCAUGGAGUGCCGGCUGUCGACUACCUGACGCCCUCCCCCUCCUCCUUUAUCCGGGCUUGGGACCGGCAAUGUAAGAUAAACUUACACGGCGGAGUUUACCAGAUGUAUAUAACCAAUUAUAUUUAAGAUUUUGUCGUAGUUCCAGAUAAUUGACUCCUUACUUCUUAGGUAAUUUCCAGUAGUGUUCAACAUUGCCCCAUACAAUGCUAAGUCCCCGUGGUUUGAGGAUGUAACUAUCUCCCUGUAAAACACAAAUAUACAAUUAAUCUCUUUUUAACAGAAAGGGAUUAGAUAUAUGCGAAAGAUUGUUUUCCGAUAUUAACAAGACAUUUAGCAAUGAAUUAAAAAAUUUGUGAGGCCUUUCCUGUUUUUUUAUUUUAUCUUCCUCUGCUUGGAAAUGAGGUUUAGUACUCAGAGACAUUUCGAAACCUAACUCGGUUUUCUUCUUCUUCUUCUUCUUCUUCUUCUUCUUCUUCUUCUUCUUCUUCUUCUUCUUCUUCUUCUUCUUCUUCUUCUUCUUCUUCUUCUUCUUCUUCUUCUUCUUCUUCUUCUUCUUCUUCUUCUUCUUCUUCUUCUUCUUCUUCUUCUUCUUCUUCUUCUUCUUCUUCUUCUUCUUCUUCUUCUUCUUCUUCUUCUUCUUCUUCUUCUUCUUCUCUAGCCUUUUUAUAAACCCAUGAUCCAGUGGGCCGAAAAGAAUCUAAUGCCUCCAGAAAACAAAACGAAAAUGUAACCAAAACAAAUUAAUAAUGAAAUUGAAUUAGGCAUAGAGAAUCAAGUGAUUGGUUUUGACUUGUUACAAGGUCCCUUGCCUUUUAUUUUGAAAGGUUCCUUAGCUUUUUAAAAGAAGAAUAUAUAUAUAUAUAUAUAUGGAUUGCUAGUAAACGGUAUUGAAUAAAUGUUCCAACGUGCGAUAUAUUUUCUUUGAUUACCAUGUAAAAUAUGAAUUAGUAUUAGAAUUAAGCCAAACUUUAUAAGUCAACCUAUUUUCCCAAUUUUCAACGGUGGCAACCACUUGUUAGUCAGUACUACGGUCUAGUAAUAUUCCUCUUUAUUUAGAAGUAAGAGGUCUUAGGUUUGAAUCUCAUGAAUGGCGAAUUCGAUACCAAAUUAAGUUGCACAUUAUGUGGUUUACCUGAACUCUCCAUCCCUUUAAUGUGAAAAUACAUCGAUGUACUCAAAAAAUAAAAUUGUGGCCGCCACUUCAUAUACUGUUUCUUAAUUUUCAUUGCCCUUUUCGGGAGGCAAAUUGAUGCGGGAGCAAGCAUACACCUUAGAAAUUGCUCACAUGCAUUGGAAUUGGAAUAGGAAUAAUAAUGACAGUGCACUUUUAAUUACUUAGAAAUUUGUUAAGUCCAUUUAGAAUAUGGUGAGUCUUUUAGGAAGUUGUAAUUCAUUUAUGCUUCCUUUAUCUUUGCUUUAACUUAUGAUGUAAUACAACCAUUUGGCAGACUUAAAUGAAUUAAAAUAUUAUUUGUUUUGUGCAAUUGAAGUGAGUUGUUUCUCCUUCUAAAAUCAAGCAUUUGGCUUGGUCGUGUGAGCAAAUCCACGAUUAGCAACGUCGAGCGUGUUUCGUUGCCCCUGGUUGAGCGAUUCCUAGGUUUCUAUCCCCUGUUUUUUCGAGACACAUUGUUUUCUUUUCUGCAUCACCAAUCAUAUAUAAGUUUACCACCAACGCAUAAUUGUGACAUAAGAGAAACUAUUAGAUGCAUGAACCCCCUACGGCUAUUGCCUAUUGGUUCUUUUCCAAGGGUAUAUUUUGCAACUCACACUUUUGGUGACGCAAAGCAUUUCGAUAUAUGGAUCUCCUCGAAUAUCACUAUUGUUGAGCCAAAAAUAAUCACAAUGUGACACGUGGAUUUUUGGGUGAAAAUGACAAAAUUACCCUUGAGGCACAUCGGAUUUCCUACGCGCGAACAGUGGACAGUCAUUCCUCAAUCAAGUCAAAAGUGCUAAAAAAAGAUAACAAAUUCAAAAUUAUUUCAUCCAUCCUCAUCUUAUAUUCACUACAAGGUAAUUAUUCCAUAACCUUCAAAACAUUCCAUAUAAAUUGAGUUAAUUGGCCAAUUAAUGGAUUAAUUACCUAAUUGAUCCAUUAAUUACCAAAUAAAUUACCCAUUACACUAAAAAAUUACCCAAAAGGCCGGCCGCUCUCUCUCCCAAGAGGGCCGGCCAUGCUCUAUAUAUUGAACCCCAUUUUCUCUAAAAACCUAGGUCCACACUCUUGCAAAACUCCAAAAACUCCCUAAACACUUUUUUUCUAAAUUCUAACUUUGGCAUCGGAUGUUCUUCGGCCAAAUCCCCUCCAUUCAUCGUGGGCGCAUGAGGCUUUGGGCCUUAACCAAAUGUGUUAAUUGUUUUGUAGGCGCAAUUUUGUCCAAGAUCAAGGAGGAAGAAAUUUGCAUCCACAAAUUGGUGCUUUCAUUGAGAGAAGAGACACACUCGUAGAAGACUCCCGCAUCAAAAGGUUUUUCUAGUUUCUUGUCCAUUUGUAGAUUUUUCAUACGUUCUUAUUAUUAGAAUUUUUUGUUUGCAAAGAUUCUUUGAUAAAACGUAAAAGAGAAAUACAAUGGCUAGAAAUUUAGAAAAUUCCACAAGUGAAAAUUCCAAUAUUCAAAAAAUGGCACCAUCGCUACGGGGCUCCACCAUGGCAACCACCGCGGUGGCCACCACGGUCACCACCCGCGGCGAGGUCCAUGGCACCGCUACCACAUCCCGAGUCGUGCCAUCCAAGCUUGCACGGGCCCAAGCCCAAGCCGUGCCAUCCAAGGCCCAUGGCUCCAAAGCCAUGACCCAAGCCUCGUACUCGCAUGCACUGAGCAGCCUACUUCUAUGGCCAAGCCUGCUCUCACAACCAAGCCUGCUCCCACGACCCAACCUGCUCCCACUGAGCAGCCCACUCUCGUGGCCCAGCCUGUUCUCGCCGAGCAGCCCACUCUCGUGGCCCAGCUUGCUCCCGUGGCCCAGCCUGCUCUCGCCAAGCAGCUCACUCCCAUGGCCUAGCCUGCUCCCAUGGUUUUCCAAGCAACCAAAAUCGAUCCAAUAUUAGUUACCGUUCCGGCUCCAAAUAUCUGGAUCGACGAUCGAACCGGGAGUAUUUUCACCAUAUUUUUCUUUGGAUUUGACAUUUCCCAACUCAAAUCUUGCGCCCGAAGUCUACCACACUUCCAUUGUUCAAGGAAACACAUUCCUUCCAAGCUAUUCCAACCCAAAUAGAGAUGAACACUGGUCUCGACAAGUCAUAAAGUUGACGAACGCCCUCGCACAGCUAACGACUUUGGUGAACCAGUUCUUGCAGCGCACCGAGAUGCAACAUGCCUCAAACGAGGUGUCCCGAAGUAGGAUAAGGGCAGACAAAGAACCUUUAUAGCAGCGUCCCAAUAAGCAGCCACUUGACCAGCCACGAACUGAGUAUUCUGGCAGUGUACACUUCCGAUUGGGCCUCCGAAAUAACGUAUACUCCUGUUUUAGCGUGCGGAUGAGUGUGCACUCUAGACUAGGCCCAUGGACGAGCGUACAUUCAUGGUUGAGGUCACACUCUGAUAGUCAACAUGAGCAAUCUUCCAAGCGAAGUGUUCAUUCGUGGCUAAGCCCGUAAAAAGCAUCAUCCACUUCACAUCGGAGUAGGCAGCACAACGGACGGAGAGAAGCAGUCACUCAAUCCAGCUCAAGUUCAAUAGGCAGCUUGCAAAAAACUCGCUCGCUUGCUAGGGAUGCACCACACUCACCGCAUCUACGGCAUAGAUGAGCCAAACAUAUAGAACAGCAGCCUAGACUAGCAAGUCGAGGUUGAGGGCAGCCGAAAACUUCACUACCCCUAACAAAGGCAAAUUCAGGAAGAAGUAGGGAGAUUAUUGACCAAGCUAUUGAGUAAUUUCUAACACAACGAGAUUACUGACGAGGCACUACGACGUAACAUGACUAACAUAAGCAGGUCACCCUUCACAAAUGAAAUCGAGCAGGCAGAGCCUCAACGCGAGUUCAACAUGCCACAUUUCAUAUCUUUCAAAAGGGAUGAAGACCCGAAGAGACACUUAAAGCACUACCGAAUCGCAAUGAUCCUCUAUCGAAACAACGACAAUCUCAUGUGUAAGAUAUUCGCCACCACUGUACAAGACGAUGUGCAAGAUUCGUUCUACACCCUGCCAUCACAAUCUAUUCAGAAUUUCGACGAACUUUCUUUGGUUUUCACCAAAGAAUAUUCAUCCUAUCGCUCAAUAAAAAAGAAGUCCGACCAUUUGUUCAAUGUCAAGAAUAACCCAAAAGAGUCACUUCGCGAUUAUGUGAAGAGGUUCAAAGUAGAGAAGGUAAGGAUAGUCAGAUGCAACGACUCAAUAGCUAGAGCAGCCUUCCAAAAAGGACUUCCAGCAGACCACCCGCUAUUCGGAAAAUUGAUCAUGAAAGAAGAUCUAACGCUGGCAGACUCUUUCGCUUUGGUAGGGAAGUAUGCGCUUUAGGACGAAGCUUGCCAAUGCACAUUUAAGGACUUGAAGAAGUACCUGACAUCACCUCCCUACUAUCUAAACCAGAAGUAGCGGAGGACUUAUUCGUAUGUUUGACGAUAUCUAAAGCAACAAUAUGCUUUACCAUCAUGCAAUAAGUGUUAGGGGCCCAACUACCUGUAUUCUACAGUUCAAAAGCUCUCCUCGAUGCUAUUAGAAAUUCAAAAGCUAACUUUGAUGAUAGUUGUUGCAACUCGGAAGCUCAAGUUUUACCUUCAAACGCAUGCAGUUAUCCUCAUGAUGCCCUAUUCUGCCCAAUCCAGACACGCGACGAUAAAGGAGUAAGACGCUGAUGAAUGCAAAGUUUUCUGACGAACGUAACAACUCAGCCCCAAAGGCACACCAAAGGCAGAUGAACACUAAAAAGACACACUCAGAAGUAAGUUUUGUCUUUGUCGCCCCAAAAGAUUCUACAUAGGAGCAACGUGUAUCGGCAGUUGAUCACCAUCUCUUGCUACGUGUCACACAAUCCUAGCCUACCACACAUUCAUGACAUAACAAAGCGGCCCAACGAUGCCUUGGAGGUAGCCGAGGUGUCACAGGUUAGUACAACUCCAAACUGACAAGAUUCCAUUGUAGACUACCUGGUCAAUGGCACAUUCCCUAAGAAAAUAUUGAAGCCUAGGAAUCUCUAAAUCAAGGCAGCAUGCUACUACAUGUGGAACAACAUUCUCAUUUGAAAAUUCUACACCAGACCACAUCUCCGCUUCUUAGUGUUUCCCGAUGACUUGAAGGUUCUAAGCUCAAUCCACGAAGGUGUUUGUGGAAAUCACUCCAGAGGUCGAUCCUUAGCACAGAAGGCUCUUAAUGCGGGCUACUACUGGCCUAUCAUGCACCAAGACGCUAAGGAGUUGUACAAAAGUACGACCACUGCCAACGUUACAAGCCCGUACCAGCACUAUAUACUAGUGAGCUACAUCCGUAGACGAGUCCUUAGCCGUUUAUCUAGUGGGCAAUCAACCUAGUAUGACCUAUGCUGCCUGUUACUAGGGGCAGAUGCAUAAUGAUCGUGGCAACCGACUAUUUCACCAAAUGGAUAGAAGCAGAGUCAUGAUGACCAUAACUUAGACGGACAUAGAGCGCUUCAUAUGAAGGAACAUCAUUUAUUGAUUUGGCAUCCUAUAGUCCAUCGUCACUGACAACAGCCCGCAGUUUGUGGGUAAAAAUUUGGUAAAGUUCUUCCAUAAGUAUGGCAUCAAGCAGAACAUGUCCAUGCCGAGAUAUCCUCAAUGCAAUAGGCGGGCCAAAGCAUCCAACAAGGUGAUCAUCAACUGCCUCAAGAAAUCCCUCACCAAUAAGAAGGGAAAAUGGCCAGACGAACUCCCCGGAUGUCUAUGGGCAUAUUGCACCAUCAAAAGACGAGCAACCGGUGAAAUUCGUUUCUCUUUGGCAUUUGGCUCAGAAGCAAUCAUUCAUCCCAAUGUCAUCAAGCUAAGUAUCAUCGCUCUACUACCAAGCAUUGAGAAGAACAGUAAGGAGAUGGCCACAAGCUUAGAUCUGGCAAAGGAGAAGCGUGAGCAGACCAUCACCCGCAUCGCAGCCUACCAGCAAUAACUCUUCUCCAGCUACAACAAAAGGGCCAAGAUCCGGCAAUUCCAGCCUGAAGAUCUAGUCCUAAGAAAAGCCUUCAUCACUGUUCGCAGAGAAGGUUCAAAAAAGAUGGAUCCUAUCUGGUCCAUAUAAGAUCAGCGGAGUAGGCGGCAAGAGUAAUUACACCCUCACCACCAAGAAAUGACAAAAAGAUCAAAAAAUAGUGGAGCGCCUACAAUCUGAGGAAGUACCAUGUGUGACCUACUGCUACAUCAAAGCCCGAAGACUCAAGCAGCUCGACGGGCACCACCUCACAAGCCGAGGACUAUCCAGUUGUUAUGCAAUUCCUACCUUAUAGCUAAGUUCUCUUUCGUUUCACUCAUUUUUCAAUGAGGAAUUCAGAAGUAAUCACAACUUGGCUCGGUUGCAUGCUUACAACAACUGAUCAUUCAUGCACUUCAAAAGAAGAUCGCACCCUUCUUAGGGACUCAUCGCAGGAAUUGUACCCCCCCCAAUGGACCAACCAUGCUCUCCAAUGCGAGAGGGUAAACUAAUUGCUCUCUAGUGUGAUAAGGUAAACCAAUUCCUCGACACCCACAUGGGUCAGCUCUCCAAGACGAGAGGAUAACUCUACACUCCGAAUAUCCAGACAUGGAUGAGCCUGGCUGUCCUAGUAUAACUAGAUGCAUGAUGGCUUGCACCGAGAUUCCUAGAAGUAGCCACAAUGAUCAUUUUUAAGGUUUAGCUAACUGAAGGAUUUUGUGACACACCCCGACCGAGAUCAAGGCAUGUUGGUCGUCACGUGAGAGUGACGUAGCCAUGUGCACAAUGCGGAAGCAAUAAAGAUAAUAAUUAUACGAAUAAUUAAAAACCGAAUUACUAGAGUGCACUACUAAACAGGAAGUGAUAGAAGUUAGUUACAAUAGUAAACACUCCUAAGCAGAGCAUAUUAAGUCUAGGUGCAGUCCAGUAGGACAAGUACUAAUUAUACAGUACCAGGAAUGUCCUACUAUUAUUUAGAUAGGUCAAAACCGCCGCGUCCUCAAGCCACCAACAACAAGCUUAGUUAAAACCUGGAGGGGUGCAAAACAGAAAACGUGAGUGGGCAAAAACAAAUGUUUUACAAAAUCAUUUUCUUUAUCAACAUAUCUACCCUCUCGCUGUAAAAACAUGUAUAAUUUUUCCCAGAAUCAGAAUAUAAGCAUAUACAUAAUAUAUAUAUAUAUAUAUAUGAAAUUAUAUCAAUUCAAUUCAUGCUUCACAUAAUCAUAUUCAAAUAUAUGCCAUGCUAAUAUAUAACAGAGUAAGCAAUUCAGGUAAAAAUAAAUUCAUAGAAAUAUGAUAUGUUAGCAGGAACCCCUGUGGUAGUGUACAAAGUUGAAUUCAUAGCUCAAAGUCAAUCUAGCCGGAGUCACUACAAUGACCUAUACGGCAAUAUACUACACAUAAGUCAGAACCGCUAAAAAAGGUCUGUACGACAAGAUUGGGUGUAAUAUAAUUAUGCUCAAUUUUACUCUCUCAUAAUAGCCGGGCGAUAAAUCGCUAGUCACCUACAAGUCGGAACCAUAAAUAAGGUCUGUACGACAAGACUGUGCACUUAAGUUGAAUCCAAUAUGAGCAUAUAGUGCGGGAGGUGACAUAAAUAAACAGGCAUGUAGUUCAUAUCUCUGGCUAAAUCACAAUCACCCUAUGUGCAGUUUUAUGUGCUCAACAUCAUUCAAUCACAUAUCACAUCAUCGAUGAUUCACAUAGCCAAACAUAACUUACCUGAACUUACAUGUGCCUCCAUAGCACCACAUUUAUAUAUAUAUGCGACCAUGAAAUGCAUAUUCAGAAUAUAAAAGCAUUUGGCAGAUUAUUUCAAAGCAUACUUUCCUUAAAAAAUGCAUUUCUGGGAAUUAUAUCAAGUAUAUAAAUAUAUACUAAAAACAAAAGCCCACUCACUGAUAUGUCGACGGGUCAUAACCCUCGAGUCGCCUGUGGAUACGCUCGUCCUCAGGAUAAGUCUCACCUAUAUGCGAAUUAACUAUAAAAACGUUAUUUUAAAGCACAUAGACAAAACUAGCUAAUAACUUCUCAUACAUUACUCAAUUUUGGUAUUUGAAUAUACCAACGUGACCUGCACAACCUCACGAUCAUCAUGAAAUGCAUAUUCAGAAUAUAAAAGCAUUUGGCAGAUUAUUUCAAAGCAUACUUUCCUUAAAAAAUGCAUUUCUGGGAAUUAUAUCAAGUAUAUAAAUAUAUACUAAAAACAAAAGCCCACUCACUGAUAUGUCGACGGGUCAUAACCCUCGAGUCGCCUGUGGAUACGCUCGUCCUCAGGAUAAGUCUCACCUAUAUGCGAAUUAACUAUAAAAACGUUAUUUUAAAGCACAUAGACAAAACUAGCUAAUAACUUCUCAUACAUUACUCAAUUUUGGUAUUUGAAUAUACCAACGUGACCUGCACAACCUCACGAUCAUCGUGAUAUUUUUAAAAUAAUUUUUCUAUUGCUCACGUGCCGGGGAGGGCACGGCCUCACACGCGGCGCAUGCGCAUGCACACUAACGGAUUCCCUAAUUGCCGUUAGGGAAUAUUAUGUUAAAAUCUAACAGAUUCUAUUAAAACUGACCGACGGCGUCAGCAUAUUUCAUCCAAACUGACGGAAUAUGCCGUCAUCUUCUUUGGCAAGUCACCGGUCGUCUGAAAACUAGGUAAAACUUUAAAACAUCUAUUCUCGCUCGUUUCUUAACCGUUUUUCAAGAAAUUUGAACCAUUGGAAAACUAACAACAUGAAUAAUCACGUUAUACUAUUUUUAAGCCUUCAAAUCCACUAGAUUUUACCUGAGGAAGCUCCAUAAUCCCGUUAACUUUGAAAACCUUCAAUCUCGGCCCUCCGACGUCCAAACUCUUUCAGCGAACUACCCCGAGCUUCCUUAGGACUUCCUAAAGCUCCCUAUAAGCUUCAAAUUCCCUGAAACAAGUAGUUUUAUGUCCAUGUGAACAGUGAAUGAAACUUUGUUUCUUGGGUUCUUAAGGUAUCAAAAGUAUCCUUACCUGAAAUGGAUAUCAAUCAACUCAUAGCACCACGAGGAACACAAUGGUGCACUUAAAACUUUCGAUUUGCAAAAUUUGGGGUGUUCUUGCCCUUGUCCGUACAUAUAGCAAGGAGAGAGAGAGAAAGAAACUACGGGAGAGAAAAGAGAGAAAGGGUAGGGAUGUGUGUGUGGUCCCAAAAGGCACACCAAUCACAACUAUGAGAACACUUAGUUCUAAUUGGAUCCAGUAAAAGGGGAAUAUAGCUAAUUGGUCCAAAAUCUAAGUUUAAACCACAACAUCCCAUAAUAAUUCUCAACGUCCAAGGAUAUUUAGGUAAUUUCACACUGUCGAUAGCAUAAUUAACGUACAUCUCCGGGACGGGCUGUGACAUUUUGGGUCUAUUGGCCUAAUCCGUGGGGAACCGGGCCCUAGAAACGGAGGGGGCACAGUACACAGUAUGCCUGACAGACGAUUACCCUGGAACCCUAAAGCUACUACCGAGUGCACUAAGGUAGCCUACGGUUUCUGAAAGACUGCCUACAGCUUGCCCUUCUAGCAGUAAAACCACGCUAGACUUAUACAACCGCACAUUCUUGUGAAAGGUUAAACAAGCUAGCAUGCAUAUACAAAGCUUUAUCCACUGCCGACAUGUUAUGUAGUCAAUAAGCUUCACCUCUGCCAAGUGCAGAACAACUUAACCAAGUCCUAAAGUGUUGUGAUACUUGUUACGCAACCUAUGGAAUUGGAGAAAGCCAAGGUUAACAGCCUAGUGGUUACGCGGACUUGUCUACUUCUGUAAGUAAGGCAUCCGGCUGCCAACCCUACGGCUAACAACUUUGCAAACUUCUACACCAACACCUACGACUGCAUAGGCUACACGGGCCUGUCUGCUUGUAGAAAAGUAGCAUGUCUGCCAUUGGUCUAUAAAGUCUAAAGGUUAGGGCAAGAACAAAAGAAGUGAAGAUGAAGAAAAGCAAAGAAAACAUGUUUAUAAACAACUAGCAAAUGCCAGAGGAGUUCAAGCAAAACAAGAGCUACAAGGAAAAACAAAGAAAAUCCUAAAGGCUACCUAAAAGAAUAUACUUCAGCCACUUGGACAUCCCACGACUACUCGGUCGCCACACCUUCAGUAGCCACGACGCUCUUAGCAAUGGCAUCAUCCAGCGCUUCACCCUUGGCUGCCCCAACCUGGGCACUAACUUCUCCAACUACUUCACCAAUGGAAGCCUCAAAAGUAAAAGCAAGGAAGUCUUCCGGAGAAAUAGAGAAGGUCUCGAAACCUCAAGCCCAUCAUUCCCACCCUUCAGCUGUUCAUCCUCUUUGAGUAGGCUAACACGGACGCGCUGUAACUCAUCCACUUCCUUCUUCAGACUUUCGUUGAUCUUUAAUACACCUUGAAGUUCCAACACUUGGGCUUCAAGCCUAUUGACGAUUCUCUUGAAGUGGAUCACUUAAUUAUAAGAAGCAAUCAACUAUUCAUUCUUUGCAUAAACAGCGAAACGAAGCUCAGAAACUGCAAGCUCAAGAUUUUGAAAAUGAGAUAUGUAACAUCCAAUCUCCUUCUCUGUACUUUCAUACUUAACUUGGAUCACGUCAGGCUUAGUCUUCAAGUCAACAAUAUCUUAGGGAGCGGUCUUAAGCUGCAGAGAAGUGAGGGUAGAAAUAUUAGACCCUUUCAAAACAACGAGCUCAAAAUCCAACCUCUUGAUCUCAUCGGUCAAGGAAUAAGUUUCAGCUGCCAUAGUCUUCGCCACCUCCUUGGCAACCUUGCUAUAUCUACAUCAUAGCAAGCAGAGUAGUCGUUCUAUAUUGGGUUGCAUGCUUUGCAAAGGAACUUGGGCAAACAAAACUUUCUAAUCGCCAUCAACAAAUUUGGCACAAACGUCCAUGUCUUCAAGUAUAUAUGGUUUCAAGAACACAUAGAUCUCAGCGGCCUCCCCAGAAGCAGACUUAGUAGAUUUCUCAUAGCUGCCCAGUCUCAUCCUCCCUAGCAGGCUAAUCAGUCUCAGCAGUAGAGGGAGUGGGCCUUAGCACCACUUUAGCAGUAGAGUCCACCUUAUCGCUCUUCAUAAUAGCAAGCAUUUCCGAAGAAGAACCAGACUUUUCUCUCAAUGGACGUCUUGGCACAGACUUUGGCACUAGAGGCAUGACAAGACCUCUACACUGAGCAAUACUAUCAACAAUCAUACAGGCCAUUCUCGACAUGGCAGACACCACAUGCUUAGAUCUAGCAGCCUCAUUUUUCUUCUUAUUGGAAGAAGUCAUGUCAAUCACAGGACUUUCGGUAACAUGCGGACCCUCACAAGCAGAGGAGGAAGUCUUCAGUUUUCUCAACUGGCAUCUCUUGAGCAAACGGGAAAGAUCUCUUCUUUCCACCUUCAUUCAUAAUAGGCUCUACGACAGCGUUCAGACGAACCAAUGCAUCUGUCUCGAUCCUCUUUACCUUCUCUCUCAGAAGCAACCCAACUUUCUCCCAGCGGAGAGAACUAAGCAGUUAACGCCAUUCACGGUACUCAACAGGAGAGCUCAACCCAUACUGGCUUUUCCCUUAUUUUUUCUCUCAGACCAGCAGGCAUAAGGCAUGCAUGCCCAGCAUUCUAGCAGCCCAUGAGGCCCGCGACCUUUUCAUUUCUCUCAAUCGCCGGCCUAGCCCGCGUCAGGACCAAAAGCCCAAAGGACAAGAACCAUGCGACUCACCUAGCACUGCGCCCCAACGCCUCAAUCUGCGGCCCCAGCCGUGCAAGCUACCCUUGGCAUUAGCCAAGCCAAGCGACCCAAGCAGUGGUCCCUGUCACAACACCUUCUUGACCCAUGCUGAGUCGACUCCUGGCCCCUGCCAGCCGACGUGCCGCACCACCCUGAUGGUUGCCCCGCGACAACACUAUCCAAGAAGAAGACAAGAAAAAUUAAAUUUCUCUUACUUCGGUGCGGCACAGAGAAGACGAAGAAAGCAAGGAAAAAUGAUCAUUUGCACGGGCAAGUGUAGAAGAUUGCUAAGGGAGGGGGAACAAAUAUCCUCUAGCUUUCUCUAUCUUGUAGGGUAGAAUAAAUCACUCUCCAAAGUUGAUUUAAUAAUCCACUUAAGGUGGACUUAAAUAGGCUUUGAGAGAAAUUUAUUUCCCUUUCUAAUUUCCAAUUAAAAAAGGAAUUUACAUCAAAAUAGGAAGCAAUCCUAUGUUUCCUAAAGCAAGAAGAUCUUUACACCAGCUGCCAUUUCCUGCGAGCAGCCCAACAGGUAUAGGGGCAUUUAUGGAGCCUAAAAUAAUCACAAGGCGACAUGUGGAUUUUUGGGUACCCUUGAGGCACAUCGGAUUUCCUACACGCGAGCAGUGGAUAAUCAUCCCUCAAUCAAGUCAAAAGUGCCCAAAAAAUGUAACAAAUUCAAAAUUAUUUCAUCCAUCCUCAUCUUAUAUUCACUACAAGGUAAUUAUUCCAUAACCUUCAAAACAUUCCAUAUAAAUUGAGUUAAUUGCCAAAUAAAUCACCCAAUACACUCAAAAAUUACCCAAAAGGUCGGCCGCUCUCUCUCCCAAGAGAGUCGGCCAUGCUCUAUAUAUUGAACCCUGUUUAUACCAUAUUUAGGGCCUCGUAUUUAGAUCUCGUAUAAAUACUCGGGGGACUUAAAAUGUAAUUAUGUAAUAAAAGAAGGGGCAAAUAUGUAAUAAGUGAUGAGUCCUUAUUCUAUAAAAUGACCCAUCACCCUCACAAUUAGGGGAGGCCAUUUCUUAAGGCCCCUUCAUCCUCUCAAAGCUCUCACAUUACAGAGCUCCCUCACUCCCCUCACCUCUCAGAUAAAUACAUAAUCAGUGUGGACAUAGCCCAAACCUUGGGUGAACCACGAUACAUCUUGUGUUAUUUACUUUCUUGCAUAUUCACGGUCGGAUUUACGUUGUUCCAAGACCUCCAGUUUUGUGCAUCAACAAACCCCAUUUUCUCUAAAAACCUAGGUCCACACUCUUGCAAAACUCCAAAAACUCCCUAAAUAUUUUUCUCUCUAAAUUCUAACUUUGGCAUCGGAGGUUCUUCGGCCAAAGCCUCUCCCCAGUCAUCGUGGGCACAUGAGGCUUUUGGCCUUAACCAAAGGUGUUAAUUGUUUUGUAGGUGCAAUUUUGUCCAAGAUCAAGGAGGAAGAAAUUUGCAUCCACAACUAUCUAGGUGCAAACCAUGGGUUAAUGGAAUAAGACUAUCACUGGAUCGUAGUGCUAACGACUACUACUAGUUGUAAACUUGUAAACCAAAACAAAUAGUUAACAAAAACAACUUUUCGAUUUCGCAUAUCAACUAAAUUAACAGGAAAGUUCAUGCAUACAUUAGUGACGUUUGGGUUUCACUCUUUUGUUGUUAUAUCUAUGUCCACCUAGAAGGGGAUCAUACCCUUAUGAUUUUACAUACAAGUAAGAUUCACUAGUGUGUAGGAGAGAUUGAUGAGCUAUCACAUGUGUUAAGGCGUACUCUGUAAAGGUGAAACCAUUUCAUAUUUCACAGAGGCUCAUACUUUUCCAUACUUCAGGUGGGACGAUAUCUUCUUGUUACUGGAUUUGGUUAUGAACAUGAUGAUGCAUGGAUCACCAACAUAGAGUUAUUUAAAGAGUUUACUGACAUCAGCAGGAUAUUCACCUUUCUUUUCAGUGACAAGCUAGUUCUAUUUGAGCUUUAGGAUUAAUUAACUUCCUAAAUGUCCCUCUCUCUCUCUCUCUCUCUCUCUCUCUCUCUCUCUUCUCCUUUUCUAUGAGUUUAACUCUUUGUUUGCCUUGACAAGCUAGUUCUAUUUGAGCUUUAGGAUUAAUUAACUUCCUAAAUGUCCCUCUCUCUCUCUCUCUCUCUCUUCUCCUUUUCUAUGAGUUUAACUCUUUGUUUGCCUUGCUUUUAUCCCCAUAUUGUAAUGUUCAGGGUGUUAGAAGGCUCGGUGCUGUUGCAGUAGACAUAUGCCAGGUAGCUCUUGGGAUUGUAGAAGCAUACAGCUGGGAAUAUCGGCUAAAGCCAUGGGAUAUGGCAGCUGGUGUUUUGGUAAUGUGUUUUCUCACAUAUGCGUCUGUUAGGGGUUUACAGCAUAAUAAUUUUAAUCCACAAGCGGUCCGAUGAAUUCUUAUGUGGAAGUAUUCAUUGUUAUAGCACAUUCAACUGAACACCUUCAUGUUUUCGUUUUGUUAAAACAUAAUAGUUGCCGUAGCAUUUUGUUUUUUAUCUCUUAAUUUUAGUUUUAUUUUUUUUCUAUAGCAAUUUGGUCCGAUUUAACUAGCAUAAGUGAUAUAGUUUCUUUUAAAAAAUAUAUAUAUAUUACAUUUACUUAGUUUAACUUGCAAUACAUGGUAAGUUUUUUUUUUUAUUGUCUGAUUGUACUUAGUACUUGGAAAAAGUUGUGAAUACUCAAAGUAUUCAUUAGGAAUCAAGCACGUGCCGAAAUAAUAUGUAACAACCCGUCCCAAUUAUUUAAACAUAUUUUGGAACGGAAUGGCACUUUGGUAAUAUCUUGGUUUUGGGUGAGAUAUUUUGGAAAUUUUUGGCUUUUGGCCUUAAUAGGUGAGCCACAUGGGGCCCACCCUUGAGCCCUUGUUCCCCCGGCCUCUCUCCUUUCUGCUCUGCCCCGAGUUCUCUCUCGCACAAUUCACUCCCUCACACUCUCUCUCGGAUUUCUCUCUCUCUUUUCUUUCCUUCCCGGAUGACCAACGCACACACCCUAGGAUCCUCCCAAGCAAGAACUCGAACCUAGGACAAGUCCGUGGUGCACCACAAUGGCGAAGAUCAAUGUUCACUUCCUCUCUUGUUGAACUUCGGCGAGCUCCUUUAUCCUCGACGUAGAUAAGCCCCUUAAACCUCUUGGUUAGUGUUUGUAUGUGAGUUUGGGAACGUGUUGAGUUGUUUUGGUGGCUGUAGGACACAUAAACGAUUAAGAUAGAGUUCCCAGUUGCCGGUGAGUAACUGUGGCUUCCAGGGCGUUUUCCGGCCACCACACACCUCGAAAGUGGUAUAGAUCUUUUCCUCUUUCCUUGGGCUUCAUUUUGGUAUAUUAUUUGACAUAUUUUGGUGUAGUUUCGAGGUUAACCAGAGCUUGAGAAGCUCCAGCUUCCUUCCUCUUCGAAACCUGGCCUUUUUCCACGACGAAAAUCAAACCAGGCCCUUAAGGCUGUGUAGGACUAGGCCUUCGGGUUGUUGAGUCUGAGCCCAAACCGUAGUGAGCCCAACCCCUUAACCAAUUAUCCUAGGCCUUUGGGCCAGCCUGCCGAGGCCAACCCACUUCGAACCCAAGCCCAAACCUUUGACCCAGGCCUUACUGGCACAGGCCUUUGGCCCUUUGAACUCGAGCCUAACUCAUGGGCCUUCAACCCAACCUAGCCAAGCCCAAAACCCGUUUGACCCAGCCCGUUUAACCCACUUGACGAAAUAUUUUGGAAUAUUCUAGUAGGAAAUAUUCUCUGGAAUAUGUUGACUUUUUCGAAAUUUACGUGGGACCUUUUGUAGGAUAAUUCGACGUCCUGAAUCUGUUUUUGACGUUCGUUUUUUCAAAUUCAAUCAUUUUAAUAGAGUUUUAUUAAUUGGACCCUUUAUGUGCUUAGGUGCAUUUAUUGUGGCGAUUCUGUUUUCGCUAGUUUGCAUGGCUCUUCGACGACAGAGUAUCUGUGAGUGGACCCCUUCUAAAAUGCAUGUUUUAAUAGUAGAAAUGCAUACAUGAAAAGCAUGAUUUAAUGGUUACGCUUUAUGAGUAAAUUAGAUUUACACUUAUAAUAUAUCAUGCUUUAUUGCGAAUAUUUUGGAAUACCAUAUUUUAUCGAACUUAUGUUCUUUGUAGUAUAUAUGAUGGAUGACUAUAUGCUACUUACGAACAUGCUUUUACACACUUCUUUAUAAUAUAGAUGAUAGAUGACUUUAUAAUAUGAAGAUGUUUUUGAUAUAUGUGUACCUAUGUUUGGAAAGACUAUGUUCAAUGGUUUUGUGCCUAUCUAGUGGUCACUGUUCCACCUAAGGGUGAAGGAUAUGGUUGUUGGUUGCAGGCCGGGAGAAAUAAUCUCUGGUUUCGGGUUGAGCGACAUGGAGUUGACAUUGGGUCGGGAGAUACUGUUAUUGGAUACCAUUAUUUAGUACACUAUAUACGAGAUAUGUUUUAUGAAGGUUUUAUGGCAUGCUAGGGUUUUUGAAAACCUAUUACAUAUUAUGCUAUUGAUGUUUUUAUUAAAACUUCGGGAGUUAGUAUGUUGAUAACUAUUUCAGUAUUUUAUAUAUAUCAACUUGAUCCACUCAUUUUUGUUUUGCGCCCCCUCGGGACUUAAAGUUGAGGCGUACAAUCUCGGUGUCAAGGCACUUCCACCUCGGUAUCUUCGAGUCCUCUCGGUGUAAGACCCACUCCUUUGUCCAUUCAAUUUUAUAUCAUUUCUUUUCUAGUGUAUAGAAUUAGUUGUAUGCUCUGAACACGUUCCUCAUUUGCAUAUUAAUUAUAUGUAAAUUUAUAAGUCUUAUUUAUUUCUUGUUCUCAUGCAUUCUAAUAUGGCUUCGUCACUUUCGGAUGUUGGCCAACACAUACCUAUCCUAGUGUUCGGGAAAUAUCAAGGUCGGACGUGUCAUAAUAUGUCAAUGAAUAGUUUAUUCAUGAUGAAUAUACAAAUAGUAGACUUUCUGUCAUAUACAUAUCCUUACAUUUUUAUGGCAGGUAUUUGGAAGUGUCGUGUAGGAGCAAGACAAUCAUAAUCUCAUGUGACAAGAUGCUUAAACUGAUGCAUGAAGAUUAUAGUUCCCCUUUCCCUCAGCAGAUAUUUUGGUGACCAGAUGUGUGAAUUCAAUUAUUCAUAGAAUAUGUAAUGCAAUUUUGAGCAAAUAAUUGAAGAGGCCGGAGGAAAUAAGGUUACGUGCAUGGAUGGUGGAAAAUUUCCUGUAUUUGAUAGAUCUGUCUUGGUAUCCAAUGGUGUGCUGCAUGGCAAGGUUAGUCUUAUCUUCUGCUUUAUCCAUAAUCUGUUUACAAAACCUUAUGUGUUGAGAUCUAACCUCGUUUAUAUAAUGCAUGAUCUUAAUUUUCAUUGCCUUUCCGUUACUACCACUAAUCUUGUGAAGAUUUUUGGGUGAGGGUAGGUCGGGGUGGGUGAGUAGAGCAGAUGGUUACUGUAACUCUGUAACAGAGCUCUGAGUAGUGCUUAAUUUCCUGUGAAAUGCGUCGUAGAUUGUAAUAAAUGCACUAGUGGUUUUAAGGAAAUAAUUCUAGAAUUUAUAUAUUUUACAAUGCAGCUUUUGGAGAGGAUUGCACCUGCAACUGAGAAAUUGAAGAGCAAAGGUAUCGAUUUUUCAUUGUGGUACAAGCCCGAAGAUUACACAACAGACAUUUGAUCACAUAUCAACAAGAAAGUGGUCUCUCAUUGUUUCAUUGGCGAAGUUCACUGUAAAUUACAUUUCAAGCGCACGUGAUAAAUAAUAUAUCUCAGCAUGUUUCCUUUAUUGAUAUGAAUAUGGUUUUAGUUACAGCAUAAUGUUUUCGUAUGUUGCUAUGGGCAAGCGGCCGGAAUGGUUUUAAUUGUUCUAAUUCAGAAAUAAUCGUCGUUAAUGAUCAUGGACUGAUCUUUCUCGUCAAGAAUUGAUCCUAUGUGAAAUCAUUUUACUCACUCUACUGAAGCAGAAGAAAGAAAAAUGUGAAUUUUGGGAGUAGUUAGAAGUGUGAAUUGUAUUGCAGAAAUAUACCAAUUAUUUAUAUGAUCAAAUAUAUCAAAUCAAAUGUAUAAUCACUAUCAAACUUAUGAAAUUUAAAUUGGGAAAAAAUGAAUAAGAAAAUAUGGCUGUGAACCAAGGAGAGGCGCGAUGUCGCUGCCCUAAAGCCGUAGACGCCUCCCUACGUGCAGGUUAUGGCGGUGCCUACAACUCCAAGAUACAACCCAAAGCCUCACAGGAUGUCUGAUCCGAUAUGCACGUCAACGGCAGACGGAAUUGCCAAGUAAUGAUCAAUUGCCCAAGAAUUAUGAAGUAUGAAUGUAAAUAGAAUGACAGAGAUGUGAGAAUUGAGGGAGACAGAAAAGUUUUUUAAGCGUCUUCUGUUUUCUGUAUGAGGUUUCAUAUUUAAAGAACUCCUCAUACCCUUUUAAAAAGGAAUAUGACUUUUCAAAUAAAACACAACUCUUAAAUAUUAUAAAUAAAUAAAAUAAAAUAAAUAAUAAGUUUUGAAUCUUUAAAAUAAAAUAUUAUUAAAAUAUUUAAAAUAACCAACAAAAAGUGUAUCAUUGUUUUAUUAUUCUAUUCCGAUCAUUUCUUACAUAUGCAACUCACUCAUUUCUGCUAUUAAAAAACCCAGAACAUUAUUUCCGUGCUUAUCAGCGAAGUUGUUGAGUACUCUGCAACUUAGUUAUUAGGAUAAUGACGACACCCUUGUUAACAAGCCCUUUCUUCCUUUCCCACCGUCGUACUCAUACAUAGAAAACUCCAUGUCGCCAUGUUUCUCAGGCGAUGCCCGAAACUCGCCAACUGGGAUCUCGACCCAUUGUCCUCUUGGGGUUUGCAUCUAAUUAACUUUACGCCACUGCUUGGUGCCACGAGGGAGAGUGAGCCUGAAAUUGACUGGAACUCCCCAUCCAUAAUUUGCAGCUUUCAGCUUGACCACGAAUACAACUUCAUAAAGAGUUCCGGGUGACAGCUUCGCUGUUUCAAACUUUCCGUGCACUUCUAAUCAACAUACAUUCAACAAUCGAUAUAUUAUCCUCGUUGUGAUCAUUGUUUGUGUGGGAACAUAAAAUAUCACCAUCAACAGGAACACGCCACAUGUACACUUAUCAAAUAUAACUACUUUGUCUAUAAAGAAUACACAAACCAUUAGUCAAACUUUAACAGGCUAACAUGUUACAUUUUUUACGAAGGUCCUAGAAGCCCACAAUCAACAAGCGCCUUUGCUCCCAAUUCAUCGCAAAUGGUCAAAGUUGAUCGCUGUUAGACCUACUAAGAUUCUCCGAAGCAUAUUCCAAGAAUCUCCGAAGCAUGUUUCAAGAAUCUCAAAGGAAUACUCUUUCAUCAAUGUGCAGACUAACACUCUGGUAACAGGUUUAAUGAACCUAGACGCUAGGGUUAACUUGUCGGUUCUCUAUAAAUAGUCAAGGCCACUCACUUUAGUCCAGUUUUCAAAAAACUUUCAGCACACUCUUAUUACUUCCUACAAUCUUUCUGACUUAGGCAUCGGAAACCUUUUGACUAACACGAUAUAUACCAAUAUUAGUCUAACUAUGUUGGUCUCUUUUCUUUGUGUGUAGGUUUUUGCCAAUUCAAUUCAAGACGGAAAUUUGCUCCUCGGAGCAUUCUUGACUUACUUUGGGAUAUCGAUUGAGAAGUUUCCUUUACUGUUUACAUUCUUUUUUAAGGCCUUCUCCUUUUCUUUAUAUAAGUUGGAAAUCUACCCGCUAGAAUUUAAAUUGAAGACUCCCGAACAUCCUUCAAGAUGACGGAUUUCUACUGCCAGUAUCUCUUUUCGGAGGUGAGUUUUUGCUCCUGCAGUUAGAAGCUUUGUUGUUUUAGUAGGAUUUUAUGAUUUUAUGAACUAGUUUUCUGAAAAAAAUAAAGAACAUGAAAUGAACAAUGGCGGUUGCUCUAUGAAGGAGAGUACAUUGCUCUCUAUUUCAUUUCUUGUAUUUUCUUAGAUCCGAUUACAAAGGGAAGCCAUCACGCAUAAUUAAAGUGUGAUGCUAGCAAAGGACAAAGUAAUACCGUUCGGAUUUGACACGGUUCACUCGUAUAAGAGUGAUCACGUGCACCGCAUGGGUAAGCUUAAAAACAUCAUUCACUUAUACACGUGACUAACUCCACAUCGUUUAGAUGUUCUAAUCUAGGUCAUUCAUUCCAUUUGAAUAUAACCUUCAUACAUUCAAAGAAAGAACAGUUGCUUCAAUUUCGAGCUGCACUGUGAUGCACUCCAACCCUUUGAUCUGUUAAACUGUCCCACAUCGGUGGUUUGAAGAAAACCAAAGAGGUUUAAAUAGUAUUACCCCACUCUAACUAAUACUGAGGCCUUUUGUGGUAAAACCCCACACCUGACGGAUUGGGCAGGUGGCUAAGUUGGGGACAAUAUCGGUGUCGUUAGAGUGGGGCGGGCCCGACGAUCCAAAAAUUCCAACAUGGUAUCAGAGCCCACGGUUGCGGGCCCGUGCAAGCCAACGAGCUUGUGUGCAAGCCAAUGAGCUUGUCACCACCCGGAAGGAAACAAGUCUAAGCUCUUAAUAUAGAGACGAUCGCUGAGUUCCAUUGAAAACAAGUGGGCCCAACGUGAGCCAACCUCUGAGUUUCAAUUACCGAUGUGGAUCUCCAGGUGUGAACCACUAAAUGAGGUUACACGUGAGGGGGAGUGUUAAACUGUCCCACAUCGGUGGUUUGAAGAAAACCAAAGAGGUUUAAAUAGUAUUACCCCACUCUAACUAAUACUGAGGCCUUUUGUGGUAAAACCCCACACCUGAUGCAAGGAACUGUUGACUAUGGAAUUAAGUAUGAAAAGGGAAAUGCAGCUCUACUCAUAGGACUUUGUGACAGUGAUUGGAGUGGAGAUGAAGAUGACAUGAAGUCCACAUCAGGGUAUGCUUUCAGCUUUGGCAGUGGUGCAUUUUCUUGGGCUUCUGUAAAGCAACAGAGUGUUGCACUCUCAACUGCUGAAGCCGAGUAUAUGAGUGCCUCAGAAGCCACCACUCAAGCUACAUGGCUGAGAUUUGUGCUGCAUGAUUUUGGUGAAGAAUUGAUCGAACCAACUCCUUUAAUGUGUGAUAACACAUCAGUAAUUGCAAUGUCAAAGAAUCCGGUAUUCCAUCAGAGGUCUAAACAUAUCAAGAGGAAGUUUCAUUUCAUCAGAGAUGCAAUUCAGGAAGGAACAAUUGACCUGCAAUACUGCAAAAGUGAGGAGCAACUAACUGACAUUUUCACCAAAGCGCUUCCUAAAGACAGAUUCUGUGCUUUGAGGGAUAAGCUUGGGGUAAUCUCAGUUAAGACCUUAGAAGGGAGUGUUAGUUGAUUAAGGUCUAAACUGUAUUUUCCUUACUUUAGCAAGUGUAAAUAAAUCAAUUAGUGAUCAAGGGCUGAGAUUAGAUAAUAUUGUGCUAGGCUCAGAUGUAAGCAUGUGUCAAGUGUUAGAGUAUGAGUGUGAUUCUCACAGUUUAGUAAUAAUCAUUGUUAUUUCAGAUUGGUAUAAAGAUGUCUUAAUGUGUUUAUAAGAGUUAAUUCAACUUUGGUUUGGAUUGAAACUCUACUGUUGGCUCGAGAAUAGAACUCAUACUUAUACAAGGAUUUGGUCUUGUAUUCCUUGUAGGAUUGUAAUAGGGCAAUCUAUGUUUAGUAUAAAAACAUAAGCCACUGCUCUCACAAAAGAUACGCUCAAUAUUGAACUAAGACCUAUUGUUAGUUUGAGUACUUUUGAUUUUGCAAGAGAUGAGAAGCUUGUGUAGAUUCGUCCAUGGCUUCUUCAUCCAUGAACAUGUCUAUGUUAAACUUAGAAACACGGCAGCUUUUCAAAUCAAUUUCAUAUCUCAGGCCUUACGGGAAGGCUUUGUUACAUACACUACAACAUACAAACUUUACAAUUUACCGAGAAUGCCGUUAUUGAAGGAACUGUUUUUCAAAGAUUUCCUCCGGACUUGCUUAAGAAGUUGAGUACAGAUUAUCUUGUAAUGCAAAACCAUAAAUAUGGAAUCUCACCAAAGAGGCUUAUGGAGAACGAGAAUCUGUCGAGUUUCUUUAAGAUCUUGACAACUUGUACUGAUGAAGAUGAUAAGGUCUAUGUGUCCACAGUACACGCAUACAACUAUCCUGUGACUGCCUUCCAAUGACAUCCAGAGUUGCACCAUCUGUUGUCUUCUGACAGCACACAUGGGAAAAACUUCGUCAAACAGUCUGCAGGUACGUGUUGCAGAUAUUACUUCAGUAUUUGCAUAUGUAGAACAUAUUUGAUGCGUUGGUUGUGAUUUAGUUGCUAAAUUCUUGUGUUCUUGGCUAAGUAUAUUAUAAAGGCUAUGCUUAUUCUUACAUGUGGUAUCAGAGCCAUUGAAUUUAACAACUAAAUUCGAUCAAAAAUCGUUUCCUAAAAUCUGCAACAUAUAAAGUCUAUCUAUUUGGUUUUCUGAAGAACAAGGAGUGUGACGUCGUUUUGUGCGAAUAAUUUUUUAUUAAAUGACUCUUGGCUGCCCAAAAGAAAACUGGGUUCUUUAAACUAUUUUUAAAAGUUUUAUAACCAUUAUCGAUUCAAAAGAAGAAAACAACCAGCGAUCUUUUGAUCAUGUCUGCAGACAUCUUCAUCUUGUUUGUCUCUAGAAGAUCCAUGUAAGUGAUCUGUUAACAUCAAAUCUCACCAAAAUAUAAUUAUAUAUUUCUGGUAACUAUUGCUUCCGUUGCGUUGUUAAUGAUGUCUACAACUUAUGGUAUUUUCUGUUUUUCUGAUCUCUCUUGUAUUAAUAAUGGUCAUAAAUAUAGAAAGAUGUUCUGGGUUUUCAAACCAUGAUGUCGUACAAUGCUUAUGAAAUAUUUACAGACUUUAUUUGCAUUUUAUUGACCCGCAUGCUGUUUCUUUUGGUUUUUGAUGUUUCAAUUGAAAUCGCGACUGUAACAAUGGCAAUGCACUUCGAUAAUCUGCAAUGGUACGAGGUCCAUAGGAAUUUGGAGUGAUGGCAAUCCAUAUGGAUGGGUCUCAAGCAUUGAUGGAUAAUUUAUUUCGUUGAUUUGGAGCCAAGGAAUUGCAAUCGGGUUGACGAAUACGGGUCCAAUGAUGCAUUCAGGUAACUCACUUCACUGUUUCAUGCAUGAUUAAUUGUUCUCCUAUAUGCGUGAUUAUAGUUCGAUGAGUUGGAGCAUAAUGAAUUAGGGCUUUUGCUAUUUCGAGUAUGCUUGUUUAUUUAUAUAUAUUGUGAAGGCAUGAUUAAACUCGAAAUCCCUAUAAAUGCCAACUUGUGAUUUAUGUGAGAUGUCUGGAAUCAUCCUUUGCUGCAUAAAUAAAUUAGUGUAUGUCUAGAUAUACUCUUCUAUUUUUCAUUAAAGAGUCAAUGUGUAUGCAUUUUUUCAUGUAUGAAUCUCGAUACAUUUAAAUUGCGGGGAGCUACACAUGCACAUCUUAGUGUCAAUUCCUGAUUUUCAAUUGGUUUGAUUUAUAUCAAGUUUGGGUUGGAAUGGAUUUGACUGCAUAUCAUAUGCAAGUCAGGAGGUAUUAUAAAGCGACAAAAAUAAAUGCAUAUAUAAAGUGGAUGCAAAUUGCUUUGUGAUUUAUACAUAAUAGCAUAUUUGAAAUGAAAUCUGUAUAUAUAUGGAGAUAGCAUUCGUGCAUAGACGUUGUAAUUAUGGGCAUGCGUUUUUAUAUAUAUCAAAUGGAACUUGCAUAAGUUUCUCUGCAUAUUGAUGCAUGCAUGCAUACAAAAAAAAAAAAAAUAUAUAUAUAUAUAUAUAUAUAUAUAUAUAUUAUAUAUAUAUAUAGGAAUUGCUUAAGGGGAGGGAUCCCCAUUUUUUUUCAAAAAAAAUGGGGACACGCUCCCCACCGUUGGAUUUGAAUUAAAUGAAAUCCUGUGGUUGAGAUUCUAUGGCCUGUGUUUUAAUCUCAACCACACAAUUUCAUUAAAGUCAAUCUAACGGUGGGGAGCGUGUCCCCAUUUUUUUUGAAAAAAUGGGGAUCCCUCCCCUUAAGCUCCCUGUAUAUAUAUAUAUAUAUAUAUAUAUAUAUAUAUAUAUAUAUAUAUAUAUAUAUAUAUAUAUAUAUAUAUGAAAAGAUGAAUAUAUAAGGUAGAUGUUUUAUUGACUGCCUAUAAUGAGUCUUGUGACAAUAAACUUUUAGCCAUUUACAAUAUAUAUAUUCUAUUAUGAAUCGGAAAGCAAAUAAUUAUUUUGUCAUCUUAUUGGAAAUUCAUAAGAUUAAUGAUAUGUGGCUAUCGUUAUUUUCUCCAAGGACUUGCUUACGAAUCUGUAUAUAAUUGAUGAUGGUGUUGACAAUGAAUUAAAGGCAUGAAUAUUUUUUUUUUUUUUGGAUUAUUGUCGACUAAUCUUAUCAUGUAUAUAUCGAUGCAUGCUUAUUGUAUAUGUAUAUUUUGUGAUUUCAUGAUGCAUGCUUCCGCUAUUAUAUUUUGGUUGAAAUCACAAAUAGGGAGGAAGAUGAACUUCGAGUUCUCCAGAAGAAAUAGUGGUCUUGAUUAUCUCGUUUUAAUCAAGACAUGUUGUUGUGAUAUAUAUCCAGACAUUAUCAAAAUUUGGUUGAUCUUGCUCGAUGGAUAUUGAACUAGUUAGGAUCAAAUUGAAUGCAAAAAUAUUGUGCUUGCUAUUCUGAUUUUGAUCAUUGUUGAAACUAGUGAUUUUGGGUUUAUGUGAGAUAAGUUUUUCCGAAUGGAUUGUGACUAUCUUUUGAUACAUAGACUGUUUGCAUAAUGGUUUAGGUGUAUUUGACUAAACUGAGAUUAUGCAAUUGGUAAGGAAUCGGGAAUCAAUUGGUUCAUAUCUCUGGUUUCUUUAUUGGCUGUGCAGUACAUUCUGCUUAUGCUUAAGUGGGAGAAGAAUGUAAGCAUAAGGUUAAUUAGGCCGGCCAUUAUAAUCCAUUUGGAUGCUUGAAAACCAGAUUAUGGUAUUGAAGCAAUUGGUAAUUAUUUAUGUUACUUAAUUUGUUUAAGUAAUGAGAAGUUUAGUGCUAUUUGCUGGAACUAAACUUAACUUGAUAUAGUGGGAGCAAAUCAAUUUGUGUGUUUGUUCUAGUCAAGUAAAAUCACAUUGUUGUAAAUACAAAUUGGAUGAAUGUGAUCAUGGAAUUUGUUUGCAUAUUUGUUGCGGCAAUUGAUCACAUUGAUAAGACAUUCAGUGUAUUGCAAUGACCAUUAGUUAAUACAGUUGAUAUUAACUUAUACUUAACUUGUUUGUGUUAAGUAUAGCCCAGUUAAGUGGGAGCAAAUUGGUUUGGUUUUUGCUAUAUUGGUUCACAUAAUUACAAAGUGCAAAUUAAGUAUGUUGUGACUUUUGAGUUAAUUCUGCGAUGUAACAGAAAAGAUUCUUAAGUUCAAUACUUUAAAAUGCAUAGGUAAGUUGUAUGUGAGGUUAAGCUUUUGUUAUCCAAAAGAUUUUGUGGCUAUAUGAGUGGGAGUAGACGUCUUGGUUUACUUUUGUGAACAUGAACUAGACAUUGUGAUUUGUAAGUUAAAUCUGUAUUUUGUGUUGCAGAGGCAAUUAUAAAUUCAUUGUUUUGGUUUAUGUAAGCUGGUUGUGUCUAUGUACUAGUGUGUUGAUGAAUGACUUAUGUCAUCACCUUUAUAUUGAAUUUGAGAUGAUUAUUUACUGUUGUGAAUCAUACUCAAGUGGGAGAAUGUUAGAGUAUGAGUGUGAUUCUCACAGUUUAGUAAUAAUCAUUGUUAUUUCAGAUUGGUAUAAAGAUGUCUUAAUGUGUUUAUAAGAGUUAAUUCAACUUUGGUUUGGAUUGAAACUCUACUGUUGGCUCGAGAAUAGAACUCAUACUUAUACAAGGAUUUGGUCUUGUAUUCCUUGUAGGAUUGUAAUAGGGCAAUCUAUGUUUAGUAUAAAAACAUAAGCCACUGCUCUCACAAAAGAUACGCUCAAUAUUGAACUAAGACCUAUUGUUAGUUUGAGUACUUUUGAUUUUGCAAGAGAGGAGAAGCUUGUGUGUAGAUUCGUCCAUGUCUUCUUCAUCCAUGAACAUGUCUAUGUUAAACUUAGAAACACGGCAGCUUUUCAAAUCAAUUUCAUAUCUCAGGCCUUACGGGAAGGCUUUGUUACAUACACUACAACAUACAAACUUUACAAUUUACCGAGAACGCCGUUAUUGAAGGAACUGUUUUUCAAAGAUUUCCUCCGGACUUGCUUAAGAAGUUGAGUAUAGAUUAUCUUGUAAUGCAAAACCAUAAAUAUGGAAUCUCACCAAAGAGGCUUAUGGAGAACGAGAAUCUGUCGAGUUUCUUUAAGAUCUUGACAACUUGUACUGAUGAAGAUGAUAAGGUCUAUGUGUCCAUAGUACACGCAUACAACUAUCCUGUGACUGCCUUCCAAUGACAUCCAGAGCUACACCAUCUGUUGUCUUCUGACAGCACACAUGGGAAAAACUUCGUCAAACAGUCUGCAGGUACGUGUUGCAGAUAUUACUUCAGUAUUUGCAUAUGUAGAACAUAUUUGAUGCGUUGGUUGUGAUUUAGUUGCUAAAUUCUUGUGUUCUUGGCUAAGUAUAUUAUAAAGGCUAUGCUUAUUCUUACAUCAAGAUCUCAUAGGGUCUUGUAAUGAAUGGUAUGAUGAGCUCAUAGGCUCACGUAGCUUCUCUCUCCCUAGUAGUCAUGUAAAUGUUGAGGAAAGAAUGAAUAUAUGCAGUAGAGCAUUUUUUGGCUCUCACUGAGAUAUUUUGAGAACUCUCUCUGCCUCUUCACUUUCUCUCUAAACUUCUUCUUCCUAUACACAUUUUCUAAAAUACAUCACUGCAUAACAGGAAAGUCCAACAUGAUCUUCAUCAGCAACAUCCUUAUGCUGCAACAAGUUUGUCACUAAAUUCUUGUUUAGUUAGUGACUCACGGUGGAACGAAAGGGUUGGGUAACUCGGGUUAAUCACGCUAGCUAACUCAUGAACCCGAGUUCCCAAUGUUCAAAAUUGAGUUUGUUUACUUCUACAAACUAAAUAAUAAUAAUUUAUCGUAUAUAAACAGUCACUUUUGUUCAGCACCAAGAAGAUGAGUAAAUGUCCUUUGUUUGUCCUGAUUAACGAAUAAUGUUACGCAGAAACUGGGAAUUAAUUGCAGCAUCAUCACAUCUAGCUAUAUGCGAGUGUAGUUCCCGUAACCUAUAUAUGAGUGCGCUAUAUGUUUAAAUUCCGUGAGCAGCGAUUGGUUGUCUUGAUGAAAUUUCGGCCUUCUGAGUUCUGAGUGUUUUAGUUCCCCUUCCACCAAUUCUUGCUGAGUUGCUGGUGUGGUGCAUCCAUUGAAAAUUUGGAGCUAAAACCGCGCAUAUACAUACUUGGUGUACGUAUACACAUACAUGUAUUUCAUUAACUGGCUCUGAAUAUAUAAGAAAUAAUUUAUUCAUGUGACUGAGAUACAAAUACAUGCUACAGUAGCAAAUACUUCAUACUAGCUAGUAUAUGAUCUCAAAUAACCGUAUAUGAGGUAAGUUAUCAUUAUUAAAUAGUCACAUAUAUAAAACCCAACGAAGAAAAUAUUUCACUACAUACGUGUAUUGUAUAUAUAGAAUAUACCAUGGGAACUGCGGACUAAUUUAAGCUAAGGUCGAAGUUACUUCUGUCACAUUUGCUUGAUGAAUUUUCAAGCCCCCCUUCCAUUUUCCACUCCAGAUUUCAUACAGACCAAAGUGAAGCAUGUUAUCGACACUAGCGGGCAGAACUUCAAUUCUCAAUGGCGGGCUGGUUUUGUCAGGAAUUGUGAAUCUGCCUACAUUUGGAUCCUGC
This 35921-nucleotide long non-coding RNA is filed under the name Malus domestica (apple). Its description in RNAcentral is "long non-coding RNA (MDOM_LNC009596)". The record is from RNAcentral. Lineage: Eukaryota; Viridiplantae; Streptophyta; Magnoliopsida; Rosales; Rosaceae.